UGAGGAAUAUUGGUCAAUGGGCGAGAGCCUGAACCAGCCAAGUAGCGUGCAGGAUGACGGCCCUAUGGGUUGUAAACUGCUUUUAUGUGGGGAUAAAGUGCGUGACGUGUCAUGCAUUGCAGGUACCACAUGAAUAAGGACCGGCUAAUUCCGUGCCAGCAGCCGCGGUAAUACGGAAGGUCCGAGCGUUAUCCGGAUUUAUUGGGUUUAAAGGGAGCGUAGGCUGUCUAUUAAGCGUGUUGUGAAAUAUACCGGCUCAACCGGUGGCUUGCAGCGCGAACUGGUCGACUUGAGUAUGCAGGAAGUAGGCGGAAUUCAUGGUGUAGCGGUGAAAUGCUUAGAUAUCAUGACGAACUCCGAUUGCGCAGGCAGCUUACUGUAGCAUAACUGACGCUGAUGCUCGAAAGUGCGGGUAUCAAACAGG
RNAcentral lists this ribosomal RNA (424 nucleotides) under Fusobacteriota bacterium. Its description in RNAcentral is "Fusobacteria bacterium partial 16S ribosomal RNA". It matches the Rfam family "Bacterial small subunit ribosomal RNA", at positions 355 to 776 of the family's 1533-position model. Lineage: Bacteria; Fusobacteriati; Fusobacteriota. The record is from RNAcentral.